GAUGAAGAACGCAGCGAAAUGCGAUACGUAAUGUGAAUUGCAGAAUUCAGUGAAUCAUCGAAUCUUUGAACGCACAUUGCGCCUGCCAGCACUCUGGCAGGCAUGCCUGUUCGAGCGUCAUUUCAACCAUCAAGCCCUAGGCUUGCGUUGGAGCCCUGCGGCUGCCGCAGGCCCCUAAAAGCAGUGGCGGGCUCGCUAUCACACCGAGUGCAGUAGAUUACUCUUCGCUCAGGGCGUGUGGCGGGUUCCAGCCGUGAAACCCCCUGCUUCUCAAGGUUGACCUCGGAUCAGGUAGGAAUACCCGCUGAACUUAAGCAUAUCAAUAAGCGGAGGA
Molecule: unclassified non-coding RNA, 334 nt
Filed under: soil metagenome
Description: partial contains 5.8S ribosomal RNA, internal transcribed spacer 2, and large subunit ribosomal RNA
Rfam family: 5.8S ribosomal RNA (bases 1-120)
Source: RNAcentral